GAUGAACGCUAGCGGGAGGCUUAAUACAUGCAAGUCGUACGGUAUAUAUUUCUUCGGAGAUAUAGAGAGUGGCGAACGGGUGAGUAACGCGUACACAAUCUACCCUUAAGUGGAGGAUAGCCCUGGGAAACUGGGAUUAAUACUCCAUAGUAUUAUCAAAUUGAAGGAUUAGAUAAUUAAAGAUUUAUUGCUUAAGGAUGAGUGUGCGUCUCAUUAGCUAGUUGGUAAGGUAACGGCUUACCAAGGCGACGAUGGGUAGGGGGCGUGAGAGCGUGGACCCCCACACGGGUACUGAGACACGGACCCGACUCCUACGGGAGGCAGCAGUAAGGAAUAUUGGACAAUGGAGGCAACUCUGAUCCAGCCAUCCCGCGUGCAGGAUGAAUGCCCUAUGGGUUGUAAACUGCUUUUAGAUAGGAAGAAAGACUGUGAUUUAUCAUAGGUUGACGGUACUAUCAGAAUAAGCACCGGCUAACUCCG
RNAcentral lists this ribosomal RNA (480 nucleotides) under uncultured Saprospiraceae bacterium. RNAcentral describes it as "bacterial SSU rRNA". It matches the Rfam family "Bacterial small subunit ribosomal RNA", at positions 28 to 505 of the family's 1533-position model. The record is from RNAcentral. Lineage: Bacteria; Pseudomonadati; Bacteroidota; Saprospiria; Saprospirales; Saprospiraceae.